This 202-nucleotide unclassified non-coding RNA is filed under the name Hevea brasiliensis (rubber tree). The record is from RNAcentral. Lineage: Eukaryota; Viridiplantae; Streptophyta; Magnoliopsida; Malpighiales; Euphorbiaceae.
CCAAACUCGCCAAGUUGACCACGCAGCGAGUUGAUCAACGCCGUCCGCUGCCGGACCAGCAGCUCACGCGUCCGGUGCAGCAUCAAGCCGGAUUGCUGCUCUGCGCUCUUGAUGUCGACAAAUCGCAUCGUCGGCCGAGUGACCGCUUCACAGAUCGCCUCCGCGUCAACUGCGUCGUUCUUGCCCCGCUUGAUGUAGGGCU